UGGGGAAUUUUGGACAAUGGGGGAAACCCUGAUCCAGCCAUGCCGCGUGAGUGAAGAAGGCCUUCGGGUUGUAAAGCUCUUUCGGCUGGGAAGAAAUCGCACAGGCUAAUACUCUGUGUGGAUGACGGUACCAGCACAAGAAGCACCGGCUAACUACGUGCCAGCAGCCGCGGUAAUACGUAGGGUGCGAGCGUUAAUCGGAAUUACUGGGCGUAAAGCGUGCGCAGGCGGUUGUGCAAGACAGAUGUGAAAUCCCCGGGCUCAACCUGGGAACUGCAUUUGUGACUGCACGACUAGAGUACGGCAGAGGGGGGUAGAAUUCCACGUGUAGCAGUGAAAUGCGUAGAGAUGUGGAGGAAUACCGAUGGCGAAGGCAGCCCCCUGGGCCGAUACUGACGCUCAUGCACGAAAGCGUGGGGAGCAAACAGG
RNAcentral lists this ribosomal RNA (429 nucleotides) under uncultured bacterium. RNAcentral's name for it is "bacterial SSU rRNA". It matches the Rfam family "Bacterial small subunit ribosomal RNA", at positions 355 to 776 of the family's 1533-position model. The record is from RNAcentral.